GAUGAAGAACGUAGCGAAAUGCGAUAAGUAAUGUGAAUUGCAGAAUUCAGUGAAUCUUCGAAUCUUUGAACGCACAUUGCGCCCAUUAGUAUUCUAGUGGGCAUGCCUGUUCGAGCGUCAUUAAGUCCACUUAAGCCCUGCUUAGUGUUGGGAGACUGCUCCAGCGGUGCUACCCUGUAGCUACCCUGCAGCUCCUCAAAGACAGCGGCGGAGUUGUGGUAUCCUCUGAGCUUAGUAACUUGUUCUAGCUUUCGAGUACACCACUUCCCCUGCCGUAAAACCCUUAAUUUUUAAUGGUUGACCUCGGAUCAGGUAGGAAUACCCGCUGAACUUAAGCAUAUCAAUAAGCGGAGGA
This 355-nucleotide unclassified non-coding RNA is filed under the name soil metagenome. RNAcentral describes it as "partial contains 5.8S ribosomal RNA, internal transcribed spacer 2, and large subunit ribosomal RNA". The stretch from base 1 to 120 matches the Rfam family "5.8S ribosomal RNA", at positions 35 to 154 of the family's 154-position model. The record is from RNAcentral.